GACGAACGCUGGCGGCGUGCUUAACACAUGCAAGUCGAACGGAAAGGCCCUGCUUUUGUGGGGUGCUCGAGUGGCGAACGGGUGAGUAACACGUGAGUAACCUGCCCUUGACUUUGGGAUAACUUCAGGAAACUGGGGCUAAUACCGGAUAGGAGCUCCUGCUGCAUGGUGAGGGUUGGAAAGUUUCGGCGGUUGGGGAUGGACUCGCGGCUUAUCAGCUUGUUGGUGGGGUAGUGGCUUACCAAGGCUUUGACGGGUAGCCGGCCUGAGAGGGUGACCGGCCACAUUGGGACUGAGAUACGGCCCAGACUCCUACGGGAGGCAGCAGUGGGGAAUAUUGCACAAUGGGCGGACGCCUGAUGCAGCAACGCCGCGUGCGGGAUGACGGCCUUCGGGUUGUAAACCGCUUUCGCCUGUGACGAAGCGUGAGUGACGGUAAUGGGUAAAGAAGCACCGGCUAACUACGUG
This 468-nucleotide ribosomal RNA is filed under the name uncultured bacterium. Its description in RNAcentral is "partial 16S ribosomal RNA". It matches the Rfam family "Bacterial small subunit ribosomal RNA", at positions 28 to 507 of the family's 1533-position model. The record is from RNAcentral.